GAAGGACAAGGUUUGAAGCCAAGAAUAUGCAAUUGAACAAUUUAGCAAUGAAAGAAACAAUUUCAGCAAAAAGAAACAAGUUUAAUUUUUAGCAGCUUUUUUCCUCUCUCUCUGUUUUCUCUCCCUCUUUCCCCCUUUCCUCCUUUCCUCCUUUUUGCCUCUUUUAUUUCUUUUUCGGCUCGUUGGGGCAUGCCACUCUGCCUGCCCCUUCCAUUUGGAUUCGCCACUUGUGCGAAAAUAAUCCAUUUCCCUCGUGAUGUCAGCCUUUACUCACUCAAAUCAAUUUGUUUCUAUUUAAAACGUAUUGUAGAAUAUGUCAACAAAUGCACUCUGGUUGAAUCGACGACACGAUUGGACGUAGUUGCGAGCACAUCAGAGCCGGCUAUCCAAUGGGAGGAUGCGGACCCGGUCUACCAGCCUGAGAAGAUUCAGCGGUGGAAACGGAAUUCUGCAAGCACAACCCACGACGGCCGCUUCAUGUGCGACCUCUGCGAGAAGACCUACAAAUACAAAGGCGAUUUGAAUAGGCACAUGAAGUACGAGUGUCAGCACGUGAUCGGGAAACCUAGUUUCGAUUGUCCUCACUGCGAUUACUCGACCGUUCGACCCUCGUAUCUUAAGUAUCACAUGGAGGAGGAAUAUCAACUCGAUGCAAGCCUUCAGGAGCUGCCAACAAUCCUUUCUGAGGACUUGGACCUGAUGUCCUUCUGCGCACCUUCAAUGUCACUGUCUCGGCCCAAGUCAAGGUCACGAGGUGGAGGCGGCUCCAGCACCAGCUCAGACUUAGCUGCAACUGGAGAAGACAGGCCUUUCACCUGCGAGCUCUGUUCCAAAUCGUACAAGAGGAAAGUCCACCUCCAACGUCACGAGAGAUUCGAAUGCAGGAACGUCCUCGAGAAACCCAACUUCGGGUGCAGUUACUGUUCUUACAGCACCAGCAGGGUCGACAACCUCAAGUCUCACGUCAUUCUUCAGCAUCAUUUCAAAAAGGAUCAGAGCUGAGGAAAGAUUCUAGCAAGCUGUGCUGGUGUAUGAGACUAAGUUCACCAUCCAAGACGAGGAAACGCUCUCUUCAAUUUUCAACCCGAAUGCUGGUCCUCUUUCAGAACAAAAUGUAGCCUUGGAAAAUAUUAAUCAACGAUCACAAUCAGGGCCUAAGUUGUCCUCUUUCCCCGCACCCCACCUUAGAAUGAAGCGCUAUUGUGAAGUUUGUUCAAAGGUUUUUUCAACAGCAGAAGAUCUGCAACGUCACCAGGACAAUGAGUGCAAAUGGACUCCGCCCACAAAGCCGAGGCAACCUACAAGUAGGCCUUGGUCUUGCGAUCUGUGCUCGAAGACAUAUAAAAUGAGACAGCAUCUGGUCCGUCACCAGAAAUUCGAGUGCAAAUUUGUACUUGACAAACCCACCUUCAAUUGCACAGAAUGCUCUCAUACCGCCACCAGACCUGAAACUCUGAAAUUCCACCUAGCUUUUGUUCACAAAAAAAUUGAAUAAAUUAUUAUCGAAAGGUGUAUGUCGAGUCUUUGUAACUAGAUCAUUUGGACCGAGACCAUCAGAAAGAAACCAAUCCUCAUUUUUGAAAAAAAAUUGAGAUAAGGAUGUUUUUAAGUUCCUCUAGUUAUAUAUUUUCUGCUGUCAAAAAUUCAAAGUCGAAAAUAAAAAUAUUAGUUUGUGAAAUAAGGCGUUAAAGUUUACUCUCUACACUGAGUCUUAUGGAGAAAUAAAACCUCAAACCUCUUUUUUCUCAGUUUCAUCUUGAUGUGGGUUGGUUCCUUUCUGAUAAACUCGGCCCAUUGAUCCACGAAAGAUACCGACGGUGAAACUACCAGACCACGUGUCUCGUUUGCGGUGUUUAAAAAUGUCCACUCACAUUUUAUUUUUUGAAGGAGAUCAAAUCAAGAUCAUUCCUUACAAUUUUCACAGAUUUUUCUCCGCUCAAAGAGGAAAAAUCACGGAAGUUUUCACGAAUUGACGUUGAGUAAUUUUCUAUUUAAAAAAAAAAGUAUGACAGGAAGUCUGCGACGUCGCAAACCGAGAUACGUGGUUUGGUAGUUUCACCGUCGAUACGUAAUUUUUCCUGUGCCGACGAAAAAAGGUCUUUGACACCUCAAAAAUAACAUAUUUUUUGACAACCGCUACAGUAAGGAGGGAGCACGUUUUUUCCUCACAAGAUGGCUCAAUAUAUUUUUUGCCAUUUUGAUGAGGAUAUCAGUCAGAAAUGUCAAGAAUGGCUGACAUAGCCAAUUUAAUUGUGACAAAAGUGACUUUUAUUCCUAAUGUGUGCUGUGAGCAAUUGAGCAUACACCAUGGAGCGCUGUGUUCAGUAAUGGUGUGUUUCCUUUUUUCCAGAAACCGGUUUCGCAUCGUGGCAACCGCGAAAUGCGAAUUCGAUGGAGCCGAGACCGUACGUUUGUGAUUUGUGUUUUAAGUCCUACAAAAGGCCGGGGGAUCUAUGGCAGCACAGGAAGUACGAAUGUCGGCUCGUAGCCGAAAAACCGCAAUUCCCCUGCCAAUUUUGUCCGUAUGUUGCCAAAAGGAACGAAAACCUUAAACAGCAUCAGGUCCUCCGUCAUACAAUCUUACCUUUCAACCAUUAACCUCCGUUUCAGCCAUCAACUUGGAUUGUGUCCCCACUUAAUUAAGAUUUCUUUAGCCUCCGCCCAGUAAUACAAGUUUUUCCAUGGAUAAACUAGUGGGUUCCCUUAUCUUAGUUUGUCGGCACAUUGCGGAAAUGACGUUUUUUCGUCACAGUUGUUUUGCUACGCCAUACACCAGUAUAUUUAAUUUGAUGGUGAUUAAAUUUAAGGUAAAAUGUUCAGUUGUGAUAGUAAUUACUCGUUUCUUUCAUUUCACGCUCUCGAGGUGUAUAUUUUGUAAGCGGCAGCGAUGACUAAUUUCUUGGAAUUCUAUUUAAGGUUUUUUUUAGAUUAUCAUUUUUCAUUCUAAAACGGAAAUUAAUUGACGCUUUGCCGAAUUUUCCAAUUUCUUUAUUCUUCUAUUGAUCUGAAAGGAUUUCUCACUUCACCGAAUGUUAUUUUUAAUGUCCACAUUAAAAGCAUCUUUGAAUUAAAAAGGCAGAUUUUUAAUAUGGUUAAUGUACAACACAAAAAGGAUAUUGUUCAGAAGUUUUAACGUUUCACUCAGCUAAUAGCAAUGGAGAAUCUCACAUAGUGUCACAUACUUUUAGAUGUAAUUUAAACUUUGCCUUUUUGUUUCGGAUGCUCCUAAAUUCUGAAAAUUUUAAAAUAUGUCUUAUUUUUGCGAUUAUUUAUUCACAAUUCCACACGUUCAUUGUUCAAGAAAAUCUCGGUUUGGAUCUCAAAUAAUAUUUGAAAGGAUCAUUGUUAAUUAUGUUAUAUGUGAAGAGCUUAUAUUGCGGUUCCUUAUUCAUAGCUUAUUGGUCAAAAAGAAUGUUUUGGUCAGGGAUUCUACACUUUGGUGCAUUCGUUUCUUCCCCAUCAAUUGUGCGUAUUUUACGCCUCUGAAAAGUAGAUUAGGUAAAUUUGUCUUUUUUAUGGCAUAUAUACCAUUGACUUAUUUUGUAAUAUUAACGUUUUUUUGGAGGGAAAACUUUAACAGUCUUGCAAAACUUUUCUGUCAAGAGUUUGUUAAUUCGUAUUUUGCACCUGCAACAGUUACAUUUUAUUUAACAGUAUGUAAUAAGAUAUUUCCGUUCAAUUCAUUUAAUAAGAUUAAAUUUACAGCAGAUCAUUUCCCAUGGAUCCGAUCUCAUUGCCCAGGAUUCAUGGUCUUGUAACACUUUUCGUUUUCUGUAAGCUCUCACGCAUUGAUCUCAUGUUUGAAAACAAUUAUAUUCUUAGGUUUAAGUCUGUUUUAAAAAUUGUUCGUUCAUAAAUAAAGUAUUCUCGAAAACAUUACAUCAGUUUUCAUGUCAUCUUGUCUACAAAAUAAAAUCAGAUCUUUGUCAAUGAAUAAAAAACCUUCACACCUAGUACGUUCUAGUUUUGAAGGAAAAAUCACUCGGAGUGCAUAAUGGAACCGUAAAUAUGGUCUUCCAUGCCAAGUUUGUAUGGAACUGAACAAAUAGAUUUUGUGAUAUGGCUGGAGACAGCAGUGGCGUGGCGUGAACAAUCGAUUAUCGAUAUUUUCGUAUUUGAAGAUGUGGUAAAGAAUCGAUUAUUAAGGCGUUCGUUGCCAAAACCCUGUUUAUCGAUCCUUUUUCAUAGGUUCAAAUGGUAGAUUAAUCGAUUUAUCGCAAAGCACGCCACGCCACUGGUAGACAGAAAAAGGGGACGCCGGACGGACGGACACUCCGUUUUUCAAGUAUGGUUUUUUUCCAGGCACCCUAUAAAACGCCUAGACUCUUCUCAUAGAGGGGAGGGGUUUGAAGGUAAAACUUACCUGUAACUUUUGAAUGGAGCAUCAGAUUUUAUUUGAACAUUGAUUUCAAUUAAAGAUCGUAAAAAGAUCGGUUUGAAGGUACCAUAAAAAGUCAGUAAAUAAUUCCAUUCUGUGCCAAGGAUCAAUUUUUCGAAUCAAAAGAGUGGACAAAUUUAAAUUUUGUCAUGUCAAGGCAUGAUUCUAGCAAUGAUUCUAGCGGAACAAAAAGCAGUGUUUUAUACUUUGCGCUCAGUUAUCUACCUCCUAGCCCCCAUUUAGCCCCCCAACGGUUUACAUUGUGACCAAGAGAGGUUUAGACAGACGCUUAAAAUAGCAUUUACAAAAAAAGAAGGAAAAAAUGAGCCCUACUGGCAUGCUUAAAAAAUUGCCAACCUCAAGUAAAAUUCAGAAGUCUAUUUUUGGUAAUGGGUUCUUGAAAGGGGUUACAAUAAUGUACCACCACAGAAGAUACGGAAUACAAGGGAAAAUACACUGCGAGUUUGUAAAUUCAAAGGUAGGUUCGCUCCUACUAUAUCUUAAAGCUUUGUAAAAAUCGUUGAAUUUUCUUUUCCCUAUUUUGUACUUCUUGCAGAGGCAAAUUAUUAUAAUCCCUUGCAGGGAUCCUUUUCGGCAGUUUUGCCGAUGAAUUAAAAAGAAAGAAAGAAAGUAGUAGUAGUAGUAAUAUACGUUUAUUUUCUUGAGGUGCUCUAGCAGCUCAGGCCAAGAAAGAAAGAAAGAAAGAAAUAAAUACAUAAAUAAAGAAAACAAAGUCGCUAAAUUUUACUUGAUCGUUGCAAAUAUUGUCCAUUCAUAAUGCUAUGUUCCCUGAACCGCCGUCGGUCACAAUGUAAACCGCAUGGGGCUUCCUUGGGAAAGGAACUGUUUAAAGAACGACUGUGGGUAGACUGAUUUAGUGACUCCUUUAUUCGAUAUUGUGGUAACUUAUUAAAAUUUAGUCAUUGACAGGUCAUAAAUCAAUGAAGGGCUCAUUAAAGCUGGGGUAUUUUGAUUGUAAGGAACAUUUCGGCUCAUUUUAUCACCCUGACGCGAGGGAUGCAAAUCAAAAUCAAGGUUAUGUGUUUGUUUACAAUUGAACCAUGACGUAGCCACUAAAUCAGUCUAAAUCUCCUAAAUCUAUUUGUUGUGUUUGUAGUCGUGGCAAGUGACUCGAUGUCGUUUGAUUGCGAGAUAGACCCUGAAGGGGGCGGGGGCACCUUGCUCUUCCCCGAAACGGAAGGGCUGGAGCGAUUCCAGUGCGACGGGUGCCCCAAGUCCUACAAGCACAAGUUCCACCUGACGCGACACCAGAAGUAUGAAUGCUGCAACACCUUAGACAAACCAGAACUUCGGUGCACCAUCUGCCAGUACUCCACCAACUACUUGAGCAGCCUCAAAGUCCACUGCAUCCGCAAACACGGAGCCUUCGGCCACCAUACUUAUACCAGUCUCCCGGCUUAAGGCUAAGGCACGUUCAGGUAGAU
RNAcentral lists this long non-coding RNA (5823 nucleotides) under Bemisia tabaci. RNAcentral's name for it is "lncRNA ENSSSA1UGG000266". Lineage: Eukaryota; Metazoa; Arthropoda; Insecta; Hemiptera; Aleyrodidae. The record is from RNAcentral.